RNAcentral lists this ribosomal RNA (800 nucleotides) under Bacillus licheniformis. RNAcentral's name for it is "bacterial SSU rRNA". It matches the Rfam family "Bacterial small subunit ribosomal RNA", at positions 164 to 945 of the family's 1533-position model. Lineage: Bacteria; Bacillati; Bacillota; Bacilli; Caryophanales; Bacillaceae. The record is from RNAcentral.
UAAUACCGGAUGCUUGAUUGAACCGCAUGGUUCAAUUAUAAAAGGUGGCUUUUAGCUACCACUUACAGAUGGACCCGCGGCGCAUUAGCUAGUUGGUGAGGUAACGGCUCACCAAGGCAACGAUGCGUACCCAACCUGAGAGGGUGAUCGGCCACACUGGGACUGAAACACGGCCCAAACUCCUACGGGAGGCAGCAGUAGGGAAUCUUCCGCAAUGGACAAAAGUCUGACGGACCACCGCCGCGGGAGUGAUGAAGGUUUUCGGAUCGUAAAACUCUGUUGUUAGGGAAAAACAAGUACCGUUCGAAUAGGGCGGUACCUUGACGGUACCUAACCAAAAAGCCACGGCUAACUACGUGCCAGCAGCCGCGGUAAUACGUAGGUGGCAAGCGUUGUCCGGAAUUAUUGGGCGUAAAGCGCGCGCAGGCGGUUUCUUAAGUCUGAUGUGAAAGCCCCCGGCUCACCCGGGGAGGGUCAUUGGAAACUGGGGAACUUGAGUGCAAAAAAGGAGAGUGGAAUUCCACGUGUAGCGGUGAAAUGCGUAAAGAUGUGGAGGACCACCAGUGGCGAAGGCGACUCUCUGGUCUGUAACUGACGCUGAGGCGCGAAAGCGUGGGGAGCGAACAGGAUUAGAUACCCUGGUAGUCCACGCCGUAAACGAUGAGUGCUAAGUGUUAGAGGGUUUCCGCCCUUUUAGUGCUGCAGCAAACGCAUUAAGCACUCCGCCUGGGGAGUACGGUCGCAAGACUGAAACUCAAAGGAAUUGACGGGGGGCCCGCACAAGCGGUGGAGCAUGUGGU